Molecule: small RNA, 120 nt
Filed under: Escherichia coli
Lineage: Bacteria; Pseudomonadati; Pseudomonadota; Gammaproteobacteria; Enterobacterales; Enterobacteriaceae
Description: partial RtT sRNA
Rfam family: RtT RNA (bases 19-120)
About the family: This family represents a bacterial cis-regulatory element known as RtT RNA. The exact function of RtT is unknown although it is thought that it may be involved in changing the cellular response in relation to amino acid starvation.
Source: RNAcentral
UGCAUCUGCAGCCCAUGAGGAUGAGAACCUCCGGGGGCAGGGAGGUUCGACUCGAGCGAAGCGAGAGAACGUUGCGCCAGCAACGGCCCGCAGGGCGAGCCACGAAGUGGCGAGUAAUCC